ACUCGCGACUUGCGUCGGUGUC
RNAcentral lists this small nuclear RNA (22 nucleotides) under Arabidopsis thaliana (thale cress). RNAcentral describes it as "snRNA_03500". The record is from RNAcentral. Lineage: Eukaryota; Viridiplantae; Streptophyta; Magnoliopsida; Brassicales; Brassicaceae.